GAUCAUGGCUCAGAGUUAACGCUGGCAUCGUGCAUAACACAUGCAAGUCGAACGGGACUUUAAUUUGUAGCAAUACAGAUUAAAGUUUUAGUUGGCAGACGGGUGAGUAAUGUAUAAGUAACCAACCUUUAAGUGGGGAAUAACAAUCCGAAAGGGUUGCUAAUACCCCAUAACAUCUAAUAGCGGCAUCGUUAAUAGAUUAAAGAUUUAUCGCUUGAAGACGGACUUAUAUUCUAUCAGCUAGUUGG
Molecule: ribosomal RNA, 248 nt
Filed under: uncultured bacterium
Lineage: Bacteria
Description: partial 16S ribosomal RNA
Rfam family: Bacterial small subunit ribosomal RNA
Source: RNAcentral